Molecule: small nuclear RNA, 164 nt
Organism: Rattus norvegicus (Norway rat)
Lineage: Eukaryota; Metazoa; Chordata; Mammalia; Rodentia; Muridae
Product: U1 spliceosomal RNA
Source: Ensembl
GUACUUACCUGGCAGGGGAGAUACCAUGAUCACGAAGGUGGUUUUCCCAGGGCGAGGCUUAUCCAUUGCACUCCGGAUGUGCUGACCCCUGCGAUUUCCCCAAAUGCGGGAAACUCGACUGCAUAAUUUGUGGUAGUGGGGGACUGCGUUCGCGCUCUCCCCUG